GAUUCACGUCUGCUCCUCUUAAAUAAAUUAGCUGGAUCUCAGUGAGCUCGGUUCCACUCGGCGUGAUAAGUAUCACUCGCUGAGGACACUGUAAAAGGUGGCCGGGAUUGCGGAUGAACCGCUUCUAAUCGUCCAUUCGCUUGGACAACAAUACUUUAUGAUCUGAUCUCAAAUCAGGUAGGACUACCCGCUGAACUUAA
This 200-nucleotide unclassified non-coding RNA is filed under the name soil metagenome. RNAcentral describes it as "partial contains internal transcribed spacer 2 and large subunit ribosomal RNA". The record is from RNAcentral.